This 496-nucleotide ribosomal RNA is filed under the name uncultured bacterium. Its description in RNAcentral is "partial 16S ribosomal RNA". It matches the Rfam family "Bacterial small subunit ribosomal RNA", at positions 28 to 506 of the family's 1533-position model. The record is from RNAcentral.
GAUGAACGCUGGCGGCGUGCCUAAUACAUGCAAGUCGAGCGAACAGAUGAGGAGCUUGCUCCUCUGACGUUAGCGGCGGACGGGUGAGUAACACGUGGAUAACCUACCUAUAAGACUGGGAUAACUUCGGGAAACCGGAGCUAAUACCGGAUAAUAUAUUGAACCGCAUGGUUCAAUAGUGAAAGACGGUUUUGCUGUCACUUAUAGAUGGAUCCGCGCCGCAUUAGCUAGUUGGUAAGGUAACGGCUUACCAAGGCAACGAUGCGUAGCCGACCUGAGAGGGUGAUCGGCCACACGGGAACUGAGACACGGUCCAGACUCCUACGGGAGGCGGCAGUAGGGAAUCUUCCGCAAUGGGCGAAAGCCUGACGGAGCAACGCCGCGUGAGUGAUGAAGGUCUUCGGAUCGUAAAACUCUGUUAUUAGGGAAGAACAAAUGUGUAAGUAACUAUGCACGUCUUGACGGUACCUAAUCAGAAAGCCACGGCUAACUACGU